This 83-nucleotide small RNA is filed under the name Mytilus galloprovincialis (Mediterranean mussel). Lineage: Eukaryota; Metazoa; Mollusca; Bivalvia; Mytilida; Mytilidae. The record is from RNAcentral.
CAAAAGGUAAUCAGUCAGUUUUCUAAAUGAUUGAAGUAAGAUCUACUUCAAUCAUUUAGAAAACUGACUGAUUACCUUUUGAU